GUGACCUUACUUUGCUGGAUUAUUCUUCACUGGUUGGUCUAAGAGAUAUUAGGGUUCUGGCUCCUUCACAUAAGAGCUGCCUACAUCAGGAAAGGGCUGUGGUUUGAUAGAGAAAGGUUGGAUUCUGGCUCAUGUGUGUUUGAUUGGUUUCCAGUUUCUGGUGUCAGAUAAGGAAAUGCUGGGGAUUGACCACUGAGGAGAAAUAAAUAGCAUUGACUCUGGAGUCAGUGGACCUAAGUUUAAAUUUUGCCUCUGAUAUUUACUACCCAUGUAACUUUGGGCAAGUCACUCUUUUCACCCUGAGUCUCAUCUCCCUCAUCUUAAAAUGAAUGAAUUUGACUAGGUAGUCUCUAUGGUCCUUUCACCUUUUCAUCUUUAAUUCUAUCUAUAAAGGAAUGGAACAUGAUGGAAUUUUUUAGAAAAGAGAAGGACAGAGGGAUGUUAGAGUCUGGGCUUCCCUCGGUAGUGAGGAAUUUAGGAUAUUGAUUAGGUAUUGAUUAAAAUAAGAUAUUUGCUAAAGAGAUCUCUGAGAGUACAGGCAAGGCAGAGUGUUGGGUGUGAGACCAGAACUUAGAAGGAGGAUUAUAGAAAAAGGUUCCGACAGUUGGUGAGGUCCUCUCACUGACUGUCUAACUUUCUCUCUGGCUGCUGGUAGAGGCAGACAUCUGAGAACUUGCUCUGUGUUGGUGAAAGGGAAGAGAGAACUCUGAAAACCAUCUGAAGAGGGUUUCUACUUUGCUAACUGAGAGGAGUCAUCUCUAAGAAGAAGGUGGUACAUCUGUUUUGCUGGAGAACAGUUUGGCGAAAGACUGAAGGCUGUUUACCUGGAUUCUGGGCCAUACCAGGGUUACUUCAUUGUCAGUUAGCAGCUGCCAUCUUGGCUGACUGAAUCUAUAUGUACAUGGAGAUGUCUUUAUCAAAUUAAGUUAAUUGAAUAAGGAUUUUAGUUAGAUUAUAGUCACAUAGCAUUUGGGGGUUUUUUAGUAAGUGCCAGGCAGUUUUAGUGUAGCUGGAAGAACCGAAGGCUUUGUUGUGAGACAAACAGAAGCAUAUAUUAAGACCUGCAAUGAGAAUAAGGAUUCAGGUCAAAAGCAGAAGAUUUCUUCAGAAUCCAGGAAUUUUAACAUGACAUCAGAAAAAGUCCAAAGAAUCCCCUCUCCGCCCCCCACCCCAUCCUGAUUGUUAUAGAAUAUCUGAACUGAAGCCUAUGUUAGAGAGGCAAUGGUGGUAGAGAAGGAAGAGAAUUUGGACCUGGAAGUUAAAAUUUUAAACAAAAAAAACAAAGAAAGGUAAUGUUCUCUCCUUCAUUAGAGGCUUUCAUGUGACUGAUGAUAUUCUAUCCGGGGUUAUUGUUCAGGUAAUGGUUGUAUGCAAUGAGAUUCUGUGCCUUGCCUUCCCUUAACACUUUUCUUGAUCUUAUUCCCCUCUAGCUUCCAUGCAA
RNAcentral lists this long non-coding RNA (1441 nucleotides) under Monodelphis domestica (gray short-tailed opossum). RNAcentral describes it as "lncRNA (ENSMODG00000037466.1)". Lineage: Eukaryota; Metazoa; Chordata; Mammalia; Didelphimorphia; Didelphidae. The record is from RNAcentral.